AGAGUUUGAUCAUGGCUCAGGACGAACGCUGGCGGCGUGCUUAACACAUGCAAGUCGAACGGAAAGGCCCUUCGGGGUACUCGAGUGGCGAACGGGUGAGUAACACGUGGGUGAUCUGCCCUGCACUCUGGGAUAAGCCUGGGAAACUGGGUCUAAUACCGGAUAGGACCGCAUGCUUCAUGGUGUGUGGUGCAAAGCUUUUGCGGUGUGGGAUGAGCCCGCGGCCUAUCAGCUUGUUGGUGGGGUAAUGGCCUACCAAGGCGACGACGGGUAGCCGGCCUGAGAGGGUGACCGGCCACACUGGGACUGAGAUACGGCCCAGACUCCUACGGGAGGCAGCAGUGGGGAAUAUUGCACAAUGGGCGCAAGCCUGAUGCAGCGACGCCGCGUGAGGGAUGACGGCCUUCGGGUUGUAAACCUCUUUCAGUAGGGACGAAGCGAAAGUGACGGUACCUACAGAAGAAGGACCGGCCAACUACGUGCCAGCAGCCGCGGUAAUACGUAGGGUCCGAGCGUUGUCCGGAAUUACUGGGCGUAAAGAGCUCGUAGGUGGUUUGUCGCGUUGUUCGUGAAAACUCACAGCUUAACUGUGGGCGUGCGGGCGAUACGGGCAGACUAGAGUACUGCAGGGGAGACUGGAAUUCCUGGUGUAGCGGUGGAAUGCGCAGAUAUCAGGAGGAACACCGGUGGCGAAGGCGGGUCUCUGGGCAGUAACUGGCGCUGAGGAGCGUAAGCGUGGGUAGCGAACAGGAUUAGAUACCCCGGUAGUCCAA
Molecule: ribosomal RNA, 773 nt
Filed under: uncultured bacterium
Lineage: Bacteria
Description: bacterial SSU rRNA
Rfam family: Bacterial small subunit ribosomal RNA
Source: RNAcentral